GAUGAACGCUGGCGGCGUGCCUAACACAUGCAAGUCGAGCGAUCUUCUUCGGAAGAGAGCGGCGGACGGGUGAGUAACGCGUGGGUAACCUGCCUCAUACACAUGGAUAACAUACCGAAAGGUAUGCUACUACAAGAUGAUAUAAGAGAUUCGCAUGGAUUUCUUAUCAAAGCUCCGGCGGUAUGAGAUGGAACCGCGUCUGAUUAGCUAGUUGGUAAGGUAACGGCUGACCAAGGCGACGAUCAGUACCCGACCUGAGAGGGUGAUCGGCCACAUUGGAACUGAGACACGGUCCAAACUCCUACGGGAGGCAGCAGUGGGGAAUAUUGCACAAUGGGCGAAAGACUGAUGCAGCAACGCCGCGUGAGCGAUGAAGGCCUUCGGGUCGUAAAGCUCUGUCCUCAAGGAAGAUAAUGACGGUACUUGAGGAGGAAGCCCCGGCUAACUACGUGCCAGCCGCCGCCGUAA
This 468-nucleotide ribosomal RNA is filed under the name uncultured bacterium. RNAcentral describes it as "partial 16S ribosomal RNA". It matches the Rfam family "Bacterial small subunit ribosomal RNA", at positions 28 to 523 of the family's 1533-position model. The record is from RNAcentral.